This is a long non-coding RNA of Helicoverpa armigera (cotton bollworm), 811 nucleotides long. RefSeq lists it as uncharacterized. The record is from RefSeq and is a predicted model, not a curated record. NCBI's taxonomy places the organism in Eukaryota, Metazoa, Arthropoda, Insecta, Lepidoptera, Noctuidae. The transcript has 3 exons.
AGCAUCUGCUUUUGAAUAUUUGCUGAUUCCUCCUGCAUUGCGGUACUGGUUUUUAAUAAAUCCGUUUGGGCUGGAUUUUGGUGCAGACUUCCUCGUAUGUGGGUUUGUUCCAUCGACUAACAAUAGAAAUUCAAUCUAAACGAGUUUAUCAACGAACAACAAAUCAACAAUAAACUUAUUCACUCUCAUACACAAUUUUACUUUAACCCUUAAAUUGGCAGUGUACUCCACAAAAGACAUUAACUUCUUUUAAAUCGAAUGUAGUACCAAUCUUUAAAAAAAUACAUUUUUUUGUUCUUUUUGGCUUGUCAUUAUUGUAUAUUUUGGUAGAAAAAAUAUUUGAAUGUGGUUCCAUUGAAAAAUAGCUGUCAAAUUCAAAAUGUCUUCGAAGCGGUCUGGUGUAUCCGGGUCACGGCAGUGCUUGAACCUGAAACAACCUGAUUUAGCAGAUAUGCUUAUAUCUUUGCACCCGACCCCUUUCAAGACGUCGGCUCUUGAAAGGGGUCCGGUACAUGGUGGAAUUUGGGUAGGUGAAGGAGAAAAUAAUUCAGAAACCUACAGCUGAACGGCCGGUGGACAGUGUCAGAAAAUGCUGUCGGACAUUUUCCAGAAAUAGCAGAUAAGCAAUCACGCUGUAGGUUUUGCAAAGAUAGAAGAACUAAAGUUUUUUGCGUGAAAUGCAAUGUGCUCUUGUGUUUUAUGGUAGGAGAAAGUAACAAAAGAAAUUGCUUCCGCUAAUCUCACACGCAAUAAAUGCAUAUUAUGUAGUUUGAUAAGAAUUAUGAUUAAUAAAGUGAAGAUUUUACUAAAA